This 136-nucleotide transfer RNA is filed under the name Duganella violaceipulchra. RNAcentral's name for it is "tRNA-OTHER". Lineage: Bacteria; Pseudomonadati; Pseudomonadota; Betaproteobacteria; Burkholderiales; Oxalobacteraceae. The record is from RNAcentral.
GGAAGUUUCCGAGAGCUGGCGGGAGCCAGCUAACGCGGGUGUUCGCUAUGAAUACGGGCUUUGGAAGGCUCCCGCUGUCUCGUAUUUGAGCCUUUACACUGCAGGGGCGCAAGUUCGAAACUUGCACUUCCCACCA